UGAUAAAAAUUUAUUCAUUUUAUACUAUUAAAAAUUGGCAUGGCUGAGGGAAUACUCAGAAAACGAAACAUGGCGUGUCACAUGUACCUUAUGCUGAAGUACAAUGACCAAUUUUUAACGAUAGAAUUGAAUGAUAUUUUUUACA
Molecule: non-coding RNA, 145 nt
Organism: Gossypium raimondii (Peruvian cotton)
Lineage: Eukaryota; Viridiplantae; Streptophyta; Magnoliopsida; Malvales; Malvaceae
Source: Rfam